GGACAGUAGCUUAGUGGUAGAGCACUUGCCUGUCACAUGGGAGGCACUGGGGUCGAUCCUCAGCACCA
RNAcentral lists this transfer RNA (68 nucleotides) under Marmota monax (woodchuck). Its description in RNAcentral is "tRNA.Asp". Lineage: Eukaryota; Metazoa; Chordata; Mammalia; Rodentia; Sciuridae. The record is from RNAcentral.